GGACUACUGGGGUAUCUAAUCCGUCUUGCUCCCCACGCUUUCGUGCCUCAACGUCAGGAACCGAAUAGUUAACUGCCUUCGCCGAUUGGUGUUCAGCCAUAUAUCUAUGCAUUUUACCGUUCCACAUGGAGUUCCGUUAACCUCUCCGGCCCUCGAGUUGAAUAGUAUUACGGACUUCCACGGGGUUGAGCCCCGAUUUGCCACCCAUAACUUAUUCAACCACCUACGCACUCUUUACGCCCAGUAAUUCCGGAUAACGUUCGCCACCCAUGUCUUACCGCGGCGGCUGGCAC
RNAcentral lists this ribosomal RNA (293 nucleotides) under uncultured bacterium. RNAcentral's name for it is "partial 16S ribosomal RNA". The record is from RNAcentral.